GCCUCCGUGGCACAAUCGGUUAGCGCGUUCGGCUGUUAACCGAAAGGUUGGUGAUUCGAGCCCAACCGGGGGCG
Molecule: transfer RNA, 74 nt
Filed under: Penaeus chinensis
Lineage: Eukaryota; Metazoa; Arthropoda; Malacostraca; Decapoda; Penaeidae
Description: tRNA-Asn
Rfam family: tRNA
About the family: Transfer RNA (tRNA) molecules are approximately 80 nucleotides in length.
Source: RNAcentral